RNAcentral lists this ribosomal RNA (775 nucleotides) under uncultured Neocallimastigales. RNAcentral's name for it is "partial large subunit ribosomal RNA". It matches the Rfam family "Eukaryotic large subunit ribosomal RNA", at positions 23 to 647 of the family's 3401-position model. Lineage: Eukaryota; Fungi; Neocallimastigomycota; Neocallimastigomycetes; Neocallimastigales. The record is from RNAcentral.
AGAGAGAGACAUGCGCGCAUAUCAAUAAGCGGAGGAAAAGAAACUAACAAGGAUUCCCCUAGUAACGGCGAGUGAAGCGGGAAGAGCUCAAAUUUGAAAUCUUAAAGGGUUUCCCUUUACGAAUUGUAGUUUAAAGAAGUGUUUUCUGUUGAGGUUUUGGUAAAAGUUCUUUGGAAUAGGACAUCAUAGAGGGUGAGAAUCCCGUAUUUGACCUUUACUUUCAACUUUGUGAUACACUUUCAAAGAGUCGGAUUAGUUUGGGAAUGCAGUCCAAAAUGGGUGGUAAAUUUCAUCUAAAGCUAAAUAUUGGCGAGAGACCGAUAGCGAACAAGUACCGUGAGGGAAAGAUGAAAAGAACUUUGAAAAGAGAGUUAAACAGUACGUGAAAUUGUCAAAAGGGAAGCGUUUGACACCAGUGUUGUUUUUCUGAAAAUCAAUUAAAGAACUGUUUAUGCUAAGCUGUUUAGACUUUAUCAGCUAUCUGUUUAGUUUUGAGCUUUUCUUUAAUGCACUUUUCAGUUAACAAGUCAACAUCAAUUUCUUCUGCUGUAAAAAAGCUUGAGGAAGGUGGCUUGAGAUUCGUCUUAAGUGUUUAUAGCCUCUUGCCUAUGCAGUCGGAGAGAUUGAGGUCUGCAGCGUAGAUCCUUCGGGGCUAAAUGCAUUUGUGCUAAGUUAUAGCAUUUUAUAGACAACUUGUUGACUAUGAUUUGUCUUGUAGCUUACUCGCUUAUGUUAUUUUACCUACGCUUAGGAUGUUGACGCAUGAGAUAUACGC